CCUACGGGUGGCUGCAGUGAGGAAUAUUGGUCAAUGGGCGCGAGCCUGAACCAGCCAAGUAGCGUGAAGGAUGACUGCCCUACGGGUUGUAAACCUCUUUUAUAGAGGAAUAAAGUGAGUCACGUGUGCCUUUUUGUAUGUACCCUAUGAAUAAGGAUCGGCUAACUCCGUGCCAGCAGCCGCGGUAAUACGGAGGAUCCGCGCGUUCUCCGGAUUUAUUGGGUUUAAAGGGAGCGUAGGUGGGAUGGUAAGUCAGUUGUGAAAGUUUGCGGCUCAACCGUAAAAUUGCAAUUGACACUGGCAGCCUUGAGUACACGAGAGGUAGGCGGAAGGCGUGGUGUAGCGGUGAAAUGCAUAGAUAUCACGAAGAACUCCGAUUGCGAAGGCAGCUUACUGGACUGCAACUGACAUUGAUGCUCGAAAGUGUGGGUAUCAAACAGGAUUAGAUACCCGAGUAGUC
RNAcentral lists this ribosomal RNA (460 nucleotides) under uncultured bacterium. RNAcentral's name for it is "partial 16S ribosomal RNA". It matches the Rfam family "Bacterial small subunit ribosomal RNA", at positions 338 to 795 of the family's 1533-position model. The record is from RNAcentral.